AACGAACGCUGGCGGCAUGCCUAACACAUGCAAGUCGAACGAGAUCUUCGGGUCUAGUGGCGCACGGGUGCGUAACGCGUGGGAAUCUGCCCUUUGGUUCGGAAUAACAGUUGGAAACGACUGCUAAUACCGGAUGAUGACGAAAGUCCAAAGAUUUAUCGCCAGAGGAUGAGCCCGCGUAGGAUUAGCUAGUUGGUGUGGUAAAGGCGCACCAAGGCGACGAUCCUUAGCUGGUCUGAGAGGAUGAUCAGCCACACUGGGACUGAGACACGGCCCAGACCAAUACGGGGGGAGGCAGGGGGGAAGAUUGGACAAUGGGCGAACGCCUGAUCCAGCAAUGCCGCGUGAGUGAUGAAGGCCUUAGGGUUGUAAAGCUCUUUUACCCGGGAUGAUAAGGACGGUACCGGGAGAAUAAGCUCCGGCUACCUCCGGGCAAGCCGCCGCGGUAA
RNAcentral lists this ribosomal RNA (449 nucleotides) under uncultured bacterium. RNAcentral's name for it is "partial 16S ribosomal RNA". It matches the Rfam family "Bacterial small subunit ribosomal RNA", at positions 29 to 523 of the family's 1533-position model. The record is from RNAcentral.